ACGUAGGUGGCAAGCGUUGUCCGGAUUUACUGGGCGUAAAGAGCGCGCAGGCGGUCGAGUAAGUCGAAUGUGAAAGCCCCGGGCUCAACCUGGGAAUGGCAUUUGGGACUGCAAGGCUUGAGUGCGGCAGAGGAGACUGGAAUUCCUGGUGUAGCAGUGAAAUGCGUAGAUAUCAGGAGGAAUACCGAUGGCGAAGGCAGGUCUCUGGGCUGACACUGACGCUCAUGCACGAAAGCGUGGGGAGCAAACAGGA
This 253-nucleotide ribosomal RNA is filed under the name uncultured prokaryote. RNAcentral describes it as "partial 16S ribosomal RNA". It matches the Rfam family "Bacterial small subunit ribosomal RNA", at positions 525 to 777 of the family's 1533-position model. The record is from RNAcentral.